GAUGAACGCUAGCGGCAGGCCUAAUACAUGCAAGUCGUACGGGAUUGAGGACUUCGGUUUUCAUGAGAGUGGCGCACGGGUGCGUAACACGUAUGCAACCUACCUUUAACCGGGGGAUAGCCUUUCGAAAGAGAGAUUAAUACCGCAUAAAACGGCAGUACCGCAUGGUAUAACUGUUAAAGCUUCGGUGGUUAAAGAUGGGCAUGCGUUGCAUUAGCUAGUUGGUAAGGUAACGGCUACCAAGGCUACGAUGCAUAGGGGAUCUGAGAGGAUGACUCCCCCACACUGGUACUGAGAC
This 298-nucleotide ribosomal RNA is filed under the name uncultured bacterium. Its description in RNAcentral is "partial 16S ribosomal RNA". It matches the Rfam family "Bacterial small subunit ribosomal RNA", at positions 28 to 325 of the family's 1533-position model. The record is from RNAcentral.